ACUCAACGCUUAAUUUUUUAUAAAAGGUGAGUCGUGAUUGUAAAAGCAUGCUGUUUUAGACAGAUCCUUGAUCAGUUCGUUAGCUUUAAACUUGUUUUUUGGAGUUU
This 107-nucleotide small RNA is filed under the name Flavobacteriaceae bacterium. Its description in RNAcentral is "6S RNA". It matches the Rfam family "6S-Flavo RNA". The record is from RNAcentral. Lineage: Bacteria; Pseudomonadati; Bacteroidota; Flavobacteriia; Flavobacteriales; Flavobacteriaceae.